RNAcentral lists this ribosomal RNA (582 nucleotides) under uncultured bacterium. Its description in RNAcentral is "bacterial SSU rRNA". It matches the Rfam family "Bacterial small subunit ribosomal RNA", at positions 919 to 1502 of the family's 1533-position model. The record is from RNAcentral.
GCCCGCACAAGCGGUGGAGCAUGUGGUUUAAUUCGAUGCAACGCGAAGAACCUUACCAUCCCUUGACAUGUAGAGAAGUUUCCAGAGAUGGAAUCGUGCCUUCGGGAACUCUAACACAGGUGCUGCAUGGCUGUCGUCAGCUCGUGUCGUGAGAUGUUGGGUUAAGUCCCGCAACGAGCGCAACCCUUAUCUUUAGUUGCUACCAUUUAGUUGAGAACUCUAAAGAGACUGCCGGUGAUAAACCGGAGGAAGGUGGUGACGACGUCAAGUCAUCAUGGCCCUUAUGGGAUGGGCUACACACGUGCUACAAUGGGGGGUACAAAGAGCAGCCAACUGGCAACAGUGCGCGAAUCUCAAAAAACCUCUCGUAGUCCGGAUCGGAGUCUGCAACUCGACUCCGUGAAGUCGGAAUCGCUAGUAAUCGCGGAUCAGAAUGCCGCGGUGAAUACGUUCCCGGGCCUUGUACACACCGCCCGUCACACCAUGGGAGUGGAUUGCAAAAGAAGUAGGUAGCCUAACCUUCGGGAGGGCGCUUACCACUUUGUGGUUCAUGACUGGGGUGAAGUCGUAACAAGGUAGCCG